This 609-nucleotide ribosomal RNA is filed under the name uncultured Aquabacterium sp. RNAcentral's name for it is "bacterial SSU rRNA". It matches the Rfam family "Bacterial small subunit ribosomal RNA", at positions 357 to 957 of the family's 1533-position model. Lineage: Bacteria; Pseudomonadati; Pseudomonadota; Betaproteobacteria; Burkholderiales; Sphaerotilaceae. The record is from RNAcentral.
UGGGAAUUUGGACAAUGGGCGCAAGCCUGAUCCAGCAAUGCCGCGUGCAGGAAGAAGGCCUUCGGGUUGUAAACUGCUUUUGUCAGGGAAGAAAUCUUCUGGGUUAAUACCUCGGGAGGAUGACGGUACCUGAAGAAUAAGCACCGGCUAACUACGUGCCAGCAGCCGCGGUAAUACGUAGGGUGCGAGCGUUAAUCGGAAUUACUGGGCGUAAAGCGCGCGCAGGCGGCUUUGCAAGACAGAUGUGAAAUCCCCGGGCUCAACCUGGGAACUGCAUUUGUGACUGCAAGGCUAGAGUACGGCAGAGGGGGAUGGAAUUCCGCGUGUAGCAGUGAAAUGCGUAGAUAUGCGGAGGAACACCGAUGGCGAAGGCAAUCCCCUGGGCCUGUACUGACGCUCAUGCACGAAAGCGUGGGGAGCAAACAGGAUUAGAUACCCUGGUAGUCCACGCCCUAAACGAUGUCAACUGGUUGUUGGGUGCAAUUUGGCACGCAGUAUCGAAGCUAACGCGUUAAGUUCGCCGCCUGGGGAGUACGGUCGCAAGACUGAAACUCAAAGGAAUUGACGGGGGCCCGCACAAGCGGUGGAGUAUGUGGUUUAAUUCGAUGC